GAGCGAAAAUAAUUGAGAGCUUGCUUUUGAUUAUUUUAGCGGCGGACGGGUGAGUAACGUGUGGGCAACCUGCCUUUUACUGUGGAAUAAUCGUUGGAAACGACGACUAAUACCGCAUACGGUUCUUGGAAGGCAUCUUCUAAGAAAGAAAGGAGUAAUUCGGUAAAAGAUGGGCCCGCAUCUGAUUAGCUAGUUGGUGAGAUAAUAGCCCACCAAGGCAACGAUCAGUAGCCGACCUGAGAGGGUGACCGGCCACAUUGGGACUGAGACACGGCCCAAACUCCUACGGGAGGCAGCAGUGGGGAAUAUUGCACAAUGGGGGAAACCCUGAUGCAGCAACGCCGCGUGAAGGAAGACGGUUUUCGGAUUGUAAACUUCUAUCAAUAGGGAAGAAAGAAAU
RNAcentral lists this ribosomal RNA (400 nucleotides) under uncultured bacterium. Its description in RNAcentral is "bacterial SSU rRNA". It matches the Rfam family "Bacterial small subunit ribosomal RNA", at positions 64 to 455 of the family's 1533-position model. The record is from RNAcentral.